UCACGUCUCGCUGCUCUCUUGUUGGCCAAUCUUCCAGAGAUUUGAAGUAUGGUUUCAAUUUGAUUUAACAUUUGAACAGUUUAUGCCAGCAACUUACAGUUUGUUUGGAUUGGGAAGCUCCCAGGCAUGGCUUCCUUGCGAUCGUGAAAGAAAGAAUGUUUUGAAUUGUUUUCCCUGAUAGCCAAGGCCUCAAAGAACAGCUUUCAAAAGGAUUUUUGCAGAAACCCGUGGUCCUUCUUAUUCCCACCACUCACCGCGACACGAAGUCUGACCCCCGCAAACGUGCCAUUGAUCAACGGAGCCCGAGGCGACAGCGGCACCAGGUUCCGCGGCAGAGG
Molecule: long non-coding RNA, 338 nt
Filed under: Scophthalmus maximus (turbot)
Lineage: Eukaryota; Metazoa; Chordata; Actinopteri; Pleuronectiformes; Scophthalmidae
Description: lncRNA (ENSSMAG00000035876.1)
Source: RNAcentral